UACAGAGGUCUCAAGCGUUGUUCGGAUUCAUUGGGCGUAAAGGGUGCGUAGGCGGCGCGGUAAGUCGGGUGUGAAAUCUCGGAGCUUAACUCCGAAACUGCAUUCGAUACUGCCGUGCUUGAGGACUGGAGAGGAGACUGGAAUUUACGGUGUAGCGGUGAAAUGCGUAGAUAUCGUAAGGAAGACCAGUGGCGAAGGCGGGUCUCUGGACAGUUCCUGACGCUGAGGCGCGAAAGCGUGGGGAGCGAACCGG
This 253-nucleotide ribosomal RNA is filed under the name uncultured bacterium. RNAcentral's name for it is "partial 16S ribosomal RNA". It matches the Rfam family "Bacterial small subunit ribosomal RNA", at positions 524 to 776 of the family's 1533-position model. The record is from RNAcentral.